CAUAACAAAACGUGAAAAAAAUAAAGGGGUAUGAAUACUUUCACAAGGCACUGUAUACACUAUAGAAUCUAGAUAGCUACACUGGUUAAUUAAAACAGCCCUUAGUACAGUCCGUGCCGUUCAGCCUGAGCUCGGGCCAAGCACAUAUUUGCUCAUGUGAAGAGAAUGAUUUUUCAUGUGAAGAAGACUUUUUUGGAAAGUGGGUUAAGUACAAAGCCUGGUUACAUAGGCCUAAUAAAUAAUAGUCUGUUGCAUUCAAAUUCAAAUAGCCAACAUUGUGAAUAUGGAAACAUUUGGAUUCUGAGAGUUGGAGAUUUC
Molecule: long non-coding RNA, 318 nt
Organism: Sinocyclocheilus grahami
Lineage: Eukaryota; Metazoa; Chordata; Actinopteri; Cypriniformes; Cyprinidae
Exons: 3
Source: RefSeq, a predicted model, not a curated record